RNAcentral lists this long non-coding RNA (555 nucleotides) under Chloebia gouldiae (Gouldian finch). RNAcentral describes it as "Erythrura gouldiae (Gouldian finch) lncRNA (ENSEGOG00005010925.1)". The record is from RNAcentral. Lineage: Eukaryota; Metazoa; Chordata; Aves; Passeriformes; Passeridae.
CUCCUGACCCCCCUGAGUGACCGCUGACCCCCCUGAGUGGCCACUGACCCCUGACCACCCCCUGACCCCCCUGGCCCCCCCAAGUGACCCCCCAGUGACCCCUGCCCCCCGUGCCCGCCCGUGUCCGCACUGAUCUCGAGCUGGCGCUGGAUCCGGUCCUUGCAGCGGUCCCGGUACUUGGACUGGGUGGCGUUGUACUCGGUCAUCACCUCCACGAACUUCCGGGACAGCGUCGAGUGCUGCGCACGGCCGGGACAGGUGAGACAGGUGGGACAUGGACAGGUGGGACAGGUGGGAUGGGACAGGUGGGACAGGUGGGACAGGUGGGACAGGUGGGACAGGUGGGACAUGGACAGGUGAGGUCACACAGGUGAGAUGGGGCAGGUGGGAUCAUACAACGACAAUGCUGAUGAAGCUGAUGGAGCUGAUGAAGAUGACGAUGAAGCCGAUGAAGUCAAUGACGACGAGGUCGAUGACGAUGGAGUCAACGGUGACGAUGGCAAAGUCAACGAUGGCGAUGCCGAUGAUGAUGAGGUCAAUGACGAUGAUGAAGUC